This 684-nucleotide ribosomal RNA is filed under the name uncultured bacterium. RNAcentral's name for it is "bacterial SSU rRNA". It matches the Rfam family "Bacterial small subunit ribosomal RNA", at positions 59 to 750 of the family's 1533-position model. The record is from RNAcentral.
CAGUCGAACGGUGAUAGCAAUAUCAUAGUGGCGCACGGGUGCGUAACACGUAUGCAACCUACCUUAUACUGAGGGAUAGCCUUUCGAAAGGGAGAUUAAUACCUCAUAACACAUUGAACUGGCAUCAGUUUAUUGUUAAAGAUUUAUUGGUAUAAGAUGGGCAUGCGUCCAAUUAGUUAGUUGGCGAGGUAACGGCUCACCAAGACGAUGAUUGGUAGGGGAACUGAGAGGUUAAUCCCCCACACUGGCACUGAGAUACGGGCCAGACUCCUACGGGAGGCAGCAGUAGGGAAUAUUGGGCAAUGGAGGCAACUCUGACCCAGCCAUGCCGCGUGCAGGAAGAAGGCGUUAUGCGUUGUAAACUGCUUUUAUAUAGGAAGAAAUAGACCUUGCGAGGUAAGUUGACGGUACUAUAUGAAUAAGCACCGGCUAACUCCGUGCCAGCAGCCGCGGUAAUACGGAGGGUGCAAGCGUUGUCCGGAUUUAUUGGGUUUAAAGGGUGCGUAGGCGGUUUAUUAAGUCAGUGGUGAAAGACGGUCGCUCAACGAUUGCAGUGCCAUUGAUACUGGUAGACUUGAGUGGGAUUGAGGUAGCUGGAAUGGAUAGUGUAGCGGGUGAAAUGCAUAGAUAUUAUCCAGAACACCAAUUGCGUANGCAAGUUACUAAGUCUCAACUGACGCUGAG